This 1993-nucleotide long non-coding RNA is filed under the name Nicotiana benthamiana. RNAcentral describes it as "long non-coding RNA (NBEN_LNC004831)". The record is from RNAcentral. Lineage: Eukaryota; Viridiplantae; Streptophyta; Magnoliopsida; Solanales; Solanaceae.
UCUAAUCUAAGUUUUGACGCGCUGAAAUGAGAUGAAAACAAGAAAAAACAUGACUAUUAUUCAAAAUCAGGAUUUCAGCCCAAGCAUUCACAUUUUCAAAUGACAUUAGUUUAUUAUUUAUGCAUAUUAAGAGUAUGGAAGUGGAAAGUAAUAAAAACACCUCUAUAUCUAUUGUAGAAGUAAAAGAAAACAAAAUAAAAGAAGCCAAACAACAAUGUAACCAUUUAAACACCUAUCAAAGUCAACAAACAUAAGUCCAAGUUCCUAUUUCAAGCCCUAAAAUGAGUCUCCAAUGUUCAAAGAACUACAUUAAUUCAAACACUCUAGACAGAAAACAUGAUGUAGCAAUUCGAAUGAAAACAGAACAGAAACAGAAAGAAGAGAAAAACAAUCAGCAGGUAGAGAGAUCUUCAUUUCUUCACAACAAAUGAAUCAGCCUUUAUAUUUUAGGAUCAAGGUAUGUACCUGGGAAUGAAAGGCAAAGGGAAAAGUGAGGAAUCAAUAGUAUCAAGAGCAGAAAUUAGCACCAGCAACAGAACAGCCCAGGUUCAACCAAAAUCAGCAACGAAAUCAAUCCAGAAGAAAGAAACCAAUCCAACAACUUAAAUCGGAUCUUUCAAUACCCAAGCUUAAACCAUUUUUAACCUUGAAUAAAAUUAGAUGUUGUUCAGGAAUGAAAAAAACUUCAAAGUUCAAUGCAAAAAUUUCAAUGGAACAACAUUUACUCUAAUUUUUCAGUUCUCUCAAGUCUGUCUUGAAUAACAAGGUAGAGUGCUUUAUAUCCAAGGCGUUUAGGGCAGCCCUCAAAAUCAGUUUUUUCACUUUUGACCCUUUUUAUGUUUUCAUUUUUUCCUAGAUACCCCUUAGUCUAGUUCUCAACUUUCAAAAUAACCUUUUUCCCAGUUCCUAGAAGCUUCCCAAGCAGUUAUAAAUAGAUUCCCUAGCUAGACUACCUAAAUUACCCUUAAAACCCCUAAAAUUACCCAAAUAGACUAAAUGGGUAUGGGUCAAGUUGACCCAAGAGUUCAAUUAAACUGAGCCUAGGCCUAAACCAUGCUGACUACCGGCUUUCCCCCUUCCCCACUUUGGGCUUCCUCUUUUCAGAGCCCAAAUGAAAUUAAAGAAAAUGGGCAGAGCAGUUUUAUAGAACAAGUUUAUAAAAACUACAACAAUUCCGAAGAUGUGAACAACGAGACUUCAGACACAAACAAAAAAAAUGAAAAGGCACAAACAGAAAAGAAAAAGAAAUCAUCAUGAACAAAUAAUGAUUUUCCAAACUGACAAUGUUAACUUAUAACACAAGAAUUGAUGCUUGAAACCAAACUAAUACAACGAGCAACUAAAUUAGAAAAGACUAAAAACUACAGUAAAGAGGGGAAGGAUUUACGAAGCUCUACUAGAUAAUUGACGACUCAGCGAAAUUGACGACUAAAGAGGAUCCGGUAAAUGGCGAGAAUUGUAGCAUAGGCAUUAACCGGAAUUUCUUCGACAGUUAAUGCUCCAUAUCACAAUCCUCAACACCUACUUUGAAAUGAGAUGAAUUAAAAACUUGGAACACAGAUUGUUUUGACCAAAAACUGGCUACCAUGACGGGCCUUGAAAUUGAUUAACUAACAAGCCAAUCCCGCGUGAUAUCACCAAAUAAAAACAAAUAAGGGGAAAGAUCAAGGAAAGUAAAGCCCCCCCCCCCCAAAUUUCUGUCUUCCGAGAUUUGGAUUUCUCGAAAAUCGGGUGACUUCUGGAGAAAAUCGUGGUAGAUUUGGAUUGAGGAUGCAAUAAGGAAUAUCUAGUCAAAUUUAGAUAGAGUUUGGAGAUCAACCGCCACAGCUAACGAUUUUAGGUGGCGGUGGACGGUGGUGAGAGAUGAGACUGACAAAGGCGAUAUAACUAGGGUUUUAGGUCAUUUGGUCGUUUGGAUAGUUUUAUGUGAAAAUGAUAAAGUCCCUAUGGAUGUUAGAUGGAGAAGAAUGAAGAGCCAUGAUCUCUUUUCGAC